UGGUUUUGAUGGGGGCUGCGCGGCCGUCCAGGACCAGGAGGAGCAGCAGAGCCCUAGCCGCCGCCCCGGCGACCCCCUAUGUCCCUUUCCUUUCCUCUUUCCCUACCACCCGCCCCCUCCCGCAGCUUCCCCACUGAUGCCUCGAUCAAUCCCAUCCCCAUGGCGACCCUCCCAGCGCCCAUUCCUGCCGAUGAGGUCCUCCCCUCCGAGCCGGGUCGUCUAAGACCAGGAGGAGCAACGACGCCUCAUCAUCGUCAUUCCCCUACUUACCCAUGGGUUCAUCAUCCUAGAUCCGCCCCUGCUGGUCACGGGCGAGCCCCCACGCCGAGGCUAGAGGAGCUGAUGAAGAAGCUGCAAUUUAAGAUCCAAUUGAUUAGGUCAGUGCAUGACAAAGAAGCAGCGUUUGCCCCCACAGCAUCUCCAUCACGUUACGUAUAUUUUGCGGCUGCGCGUCUCCAUGGCUGCCACCAGCAAUUUUCUCCAGUGUUGGCAACCAAGCAAGCGUUGUCUUCUCCAUGGGCUGACACGAUCUGGUAAAGGUUUUAUUUUGGAUCCACCAAGUGCUUAUGAUUUCGUGGCCGUCAAACGGCAUGUGAUAUGCCUUUGCCAGUGGCACACAUUACGCAUCUUGGAUGAAGAGAGUCGGGAGACCCUGAUGCUACACACCGCUAUUCCAACCAUUGAUGAUCUUAUGUCUUUGUGCCAGCGGUAAUUAUCUAUCCAUUUUUUGGUAAAAUCCUGUAUAGAUAGCUAUACACAUGCUUUUAAAAUUAUCUGUUUGAAUAUUUGAAAUGUUCAUAUUCAAAGCAAAACAUUUGUAAUGUUACCAUGUAUAUUCAAAAGGAAAUAGCAACUGAAUUUGGUUGCAACCAGAAAUUGACCUCAAUUAUUUACAGCCUAGAGGACUCAUGCAGAAACAUAAUCUUCAUUUUUUAUGGAAUGGAGGAACGGUGGAGUGUAUCUGGGACAGGAUACAUAUACAUAAUUUUUUCGAUUUUGCCACUUUCUGCAUGCCAUUUUUGAUAGUUUAGUCCGUGUGGCAGAGAUGUUACCUUCCAAUCUAAUCUACUAAAUCACACAAAUAGUAUGUGACUAGACACCUGCUAUCUGAAUGCACCUUAAUCAGAUGGAAAACUGGCCAAUUAUGCCACACUAUUUAAUGUGUGGCACAUUUAGUCGAUGCAUCUUGCCAAUCAGUAUUGGCAGCCAAACAUAGACGCCACCCAAACAUUGACCCCGUAAAAUCACAUAGGGUUUUCCUCUAUAAAGAGCACUUGAAAACAUAAUUAUAAGAAUAAAAAAGUUGUGACAUUUGUAGCUUGAGUUAGAAUUUAGAUAUUUCAGAUGGCCAUUCUGUAAAAUUGGAUGUAACUUGAAAAAGUGGAAUAGAAAAUCACAUCUGAGUGAUUAGAAUGAACAUGUUAUCAUGUAUGAAGAGGUCAAACCAGAAUUCUAAGAAUAAGAAAAUUGCGACCAAACCGUUCGUAUUCGGUUCUGACUUCGAUUAGUAUUUACUAGAUCUUUAGUUAUAAUUGUACACUGACCCAAAAAAUAGUGUAUCAUAUGUCAGAACAAUGUAAUAUAAUAAAAAAGGAUUGCUACCCCAUGCAUUUUGAUCUUUUAUAAGUUAUUACACUUUAAUCUUUUCCAAAGCAGUUUUUUGUAUGCAUUAAAAUGCCCUUGUGAGGAUGGUGUUUUAUGGUUUUCUAAAAACACACACAACCAUAAGACAAAAGCUUUAUUAGGCAACUGCAUUUGGAUAAUAGUACAUAUUAGGCACCAUAUUAUCAAAAGAGACGCAAAAUGGAAAUGAAAGGUACUUUCUGUAAUUAACACAAAUAAAACUAGAACAAAGAAAAUUAAUAUCUACUCACUCGAUUGCUAAUACUGCAAGUAUCAGUUACAAUAGAAGCGUAUUCGUUGCUUAAGAUCGAGACUUACUGUCAAUAUUCCGUAGCUAAUGUUGUGAUUGAUGCAAUCGUGCCUUUGUAGUAAUCAUCCUAAUAGCACAAGACUGCAGGGUCAAAGAGUGGUAAAGCUAACCCCUUAACGUUUCAUAUCUGAAUUACUGCUACAGUUUGUCACGACCGAUUCAUACACUGACAACACUAAACCUGUAGGCCUUCCAGCUGGUCUAUGUGCCCGACGGAUGAUCUUGCACAGGGUCAAUAAUGUGCUUUACAACUUAAGAUCAAUUCCAUUGUCACCAUAGUAUGAGAACAACACGCAACUUAACAGCUGCAUCAACAUGAACAUCAGCGCGUUACUUAUAGAGCAGAAAUUCAUCCAGCCUUAAGACAGAUUAUGCCGUGCCAUAACGUUAUGCACCUACCUUUUUUUUACUCACCAACAACAGACAUACUGAAUUUUUUUUUUCAUUUGUUUUUCACAAAAUUGUAAAUGCAUUCAUCCAAUUUAGGCUCAAUAUUCAUAUUACAAUUCAAAAUCCUAGAUAAGAUAGGUAACCUGUUAUAUUUUGCACUCUGACUUAGAGGUUCAAACUGCACGGAUGUGAGUGUAACAGUGUAAAUAUCAAUCUAUUUUCUUGUUUGAUUGAACCAAAAUGUUGUUAUAUAUGUAUGUGGCUACUUGCUUGACACUGAGGUACUGAAAGUACACAUGCUACUAGUGUUACUACAAACUAUACGACAGUUAGAGCCGGUGGGAGAUGAUUCUAAGAAUAAGAGCCGGAAGACAAGGAGACUAAUGUGCAAUCAAGACUUGGCGAAGAUGUGGCGUUGAGGUUCAGAAUGGUUCAUCCAGUUCCCAAGACUGUUACUUGCCUGCAAAAUUCUAUUUGAAUGUGUUUUUCCCCUUUUUAGCAAGAUAUUAUGGUCUAAAUUUUUAUUUUUCGUUCAACUCAUGGCAUAGGUUCAGAAUUGCCAGUGAACAAAAAAUGAUAAUAUAUACGCGCCGACAAAAGAAUAGCCCCAAGACAAAACCUAAACGCAUUUAGCAGAGAACGGCGCGGCAAGACGCGCAUGGUCCAUCUAGUAUUUACUAAUUAGAGACACCAUUGAAGCCACCACGUUAAUCCACAUAAUCAAGAUUAAUUAGGCUGUUAGAUCUUAGUUUUGUGGCUAGGAUUAACCGCGUGAAACAACAAUCUGCUGGACGUUACAAAUAAUCCGGCACGAUGGUUCAAUCGUACAUGUGAAUGCAAAUAAAACAUAAUUAAAAGUGUGAUUUGACCAAACGUUACAAAUAAACAACCAAACGUUAAAACAUACUGAUUGAUGUAUGCAAAUAAAACAUACUUAAAACAACCAACUUCUGCUGGACGUUACAAAUAAAACAUACUUAAAAUAUCGGUGCAGCUUGUGAUGGGGGGUCUGGAAAUAUCCAUUUGGUGCAGAAGUGUGAUUUAGAUGUUCUUUACGUUGCAUACUUAAAAAAAACAGUGGCUUUUGAUACCCAAUUUUUAACUGUAGUAUUAAUAUCUUCUUUUGAUUUCCACACAGGAAAUAUUUCCUUAAUUUUGCACCUGUCUGCUAUAUAUUUCUAAGUAUCAAGUUGAUAUUAGAGGGUUAGAUGAACAAAUUCAAACUCUACUCUCCAAGGUGCGCAAUAUUAAUCUCCAACAGAAUUUUCAGGGAAGUUAGAAGACUCACUAAUUUAACAAACUGCUGCAAUAACUGAAUUUCAUUGAUGGUCAAAGCCCUGGAUCCAAUGCUCAUUUCAUUGGGCUGAAAUUUGUAGAUAUGGAUUGAUGCUUUGUUGGGUGCUUCAUCCAAUAUCUGUCUUCCAUAUAUCAUAUACAUAUGUAGGGGUAACUAAAUAUGCUUUUAGUUUUUUUUGUAGGACAAUAAAGGUGCAUAUAGAGGAGUGUGUUUUAGUUUUCAGUGCCUCAACAUCCAUCGAGCUUACCAAACAUCAAGGGUAGCUGCUUUAGCAAUUUUAACAACAAAAGGCUGUAUUGCCGAAUUUGGCUGCUGCCAUCCUUUCCCAAGAACACACUUUGAUAUUCUUCCAUUUUGUCUUUCCCUUCCCGUUGUCCCAACAUUUCAUAAGUAUUGAACAAUUAUACCA
RNA transcript from Lolium rigidum, 4029 nucleotides. RefSeq lists it as uncharacterized. The transcript has 5 exons. The record is from RefSeq and is a predicted model, not a curated record. Lineage: Eukaryota; Viridiplantae; Streptophyta; Magnoliopsida; Poales; Poaceae.